Cyprinus carpio (common carp) is the source of this 1035-nucleotide long non-coding RNA. Lineage: Eukaryota; Metazoa; Chordata; Actinopteri; Cypriniformes; Cyprinidae. The record is from Ensembl.
GUAGAAUUAAAAUGAACUUAAAUUAAAAUAAAUUUAAUUAUGACUAAUUUAUAAAUAGAACAGCAAGGUUUGUAGACAGAAUAGGUAUGGAUGUAUGGACAGACAGAGACAGACAAUGUAGAGAUAAAAAGAUGCAGAGAUAGAUAGAUAGAUAGAUAGAUAGAUAGAUAGAUAGAUAGAUAGAUAGAUAGAUAGAUAGAUAGAUAGAUAGAUAGAUAGGUGUGUGGGUGGAUAGAUGUUGGAUGGACAAAUAGAGAGAGAUGAUAUAUGGGUUGAUGGAUAAAAAGAGAGAUAUAGAGGAAGAUGCAGAGAUAGUUAUAGAAAUUGUUAUAGAGUUUGAUGGAUUAGCGAGAGAUUGAUAUAGGGAUGGAUGGGGGAGAGAUAUAGAGAUAGGGAUAGGUAUCAAAAUAGAGAUGGAUGGAUGGAUGGAUGGAUGGAUGGACAGAUAGAUAGAGAGAGAUAUAUAUAGUGAUAAGUCACUUUGAAUUAAAAACCUUUGUCAAAACAGCAACUACUAACAGUCAGAUACAGUUAAUUGUACAGCUAUCAUCAGUUCUUCAUUUCUGGCAGUAAAUAACAUUAGUAUCUCAAGGUCACACCAGGAAAAGGUGAUGUGUGGACUGUCCUAAUGCUCUCCUCAACGUAAAACAACCUGUCAGCCGUGAUCUGAUACACAUAUUCAUUUACAGAGGGAUCCAUAUAGCAUUUCUGCGCUUAUAGUUGUGUAUGAUGAAAAAAAGUGAGCAUGUUAAAGAAAAUAGUGUCUGUCUGUAUAUACGUCUUUGACAGGGUCCUAUGCUAGAUUCACUCCAGUAGAGCGCUACUGCAGGCAUCGAUGGAGGCGAGGUAAAGAAGAGACGGCGCACUGAUUUCUCCUCCACCAGUGACAGCACAGAGUAAUGACUGGAAAGACCUCCAGCCCUGAGAUCUAUCUUGCAGGCUGCUCUGGGCUGACUGCCUGGCCAUCCUGCCCGCCUGCCCAGGCCAGAUGCAGCGAGGCCAGAUGGAGGAGCUAAUCACUGGAGCAGCAGGCAG